Molecule: unclassified non-coding RNA, 25 nt
Filed under: Mus musculus (house mouse)
Lineage: Eukaryota; Metazoa; Chordata; Mammalia; Rodentia; Muridae
Description: oocyte_clustered_small_RNA4736
Source: RNAcentral
UUUUCUCUGCUCAAAGCUCCUGGGA